RNAcentral lists this transfer RNA (73 nucleotides) under marine sediment metagenome. It matches the Rfam family "tRNA". From Rfam's summary of the family: Transfer RNA (tRNA) molecules are approximately 80 nucleotides in length. Their secondary structure includes four short double-helical elements and three loops (D, anti-codon, and T loops). Further hydrogen bonds mediate the characteristic L-shaped molecular structure. tRNAs have two regions of fundamental functional importance: the anti-codon, which is responsible for specific mRNA codon recognition, and the 3' end, to which the tRNAs corresponding amino acid is attached (by aminoacyl-tRNA synthetases). tRNAs cope with the degeneracy of the genetic code in two manners: having more than one tRNA (with a specific anti-codon) for a particular amino acid; and 'wobble' base-pairing, i.e. permitting non-standard base-pairing at the 3rd anti-codon position. The record is from RNAcentral.
GGCCCCAUCGUAUAGUGGUUUAGUACGCAUGGUUCUCAGCCAUGUAACAGGGGUUCGACUCCCCUUGGGGCCG